UUAAUUGAAACCAAAAUAGAGGUAAAUCACUGUUAAUGAUUAAAUUGAGGUUUCCUCCGAUUAAA
RNAcentral lists this transfer RNA (65 nucleotides) under Philonthus fimetarius. RNAcentral's name for it is "tRNA-Asn". Lineage: Eukaryota; Metazoa; Arthropoda; Insecta; Coleoptera; Staphylinidae. The record is from RNAcentral.